GCUGCGGUAGCUCAGUGGUAGAGCGGAGGAUUGCAGUUUAAAUUAUCAAAAAUCCUCAGGUCCUGUGUUCAAUCCACAGUCGCAGCU
RNAcentral lists this transfer RNA (87 nucleotides) under Erysiphe necator (grape powdery mildew). It matches the Rfam family "tRNA". From Rfam's summary of the family: Transfer RNA (tRNA) molecules are approximately 80 nucleotides in length. Their secondary structure includes four short double-helical elements and three loops (D, anti-codon, and T loops). Further hydrogen bonds mediate the characteristic L-shaped molecular structure. tRNAs have two regions of fundamental functional importance: the anti-codon, which is responsible for specific mRNA codon recognition, and the 3' end, to which the tRNAs corresponding amino acid is attached (by aminoacyl-tRNA synthetases). tRNAs cope with the degeneracy of the genetic code in two manners: having more than one tRNA (with a specific anti-codon) for a particular amino acid; and 'wobble' base-pairing, i.e. permitting non-standard base-pairing at the 3rd anti-codon position. Lineage: Eukaryota; Fungi; Ascomycota; Leotiomycetes; Helotiales; Erysiphaceae. The record is from Rfam by way of RNAcentral.